CACGUAGGCGGAAGGGCAAGUCAGAUGUGAAAACCCGGGGCUUAACCGCGGGCCUGCAUUUGAUACUGCUUUUCUUGAGUACCGGAGAGGAUGGCAGAAUUCCUGGUGUAGCGGUGAAAUGCGUAGAUAUCAGGAAGAAUACCGGUGGCGAAGGCGACCAUCUGGACGGAUACUGACGCUGAGGUGCGAAGGCCGGGGGAGCAAACA
Molecule: ribosomal RNA, 207 nt
Filed under: uncultured bacterium
Lineage: Bacteria
Description: partial 16S ribosomal RNA
Rfam family: Bacterial small subunit ribosomal RNA
Source: RNAcentral